This 253-nucleotide ribosomal RNA is filed under the name uncultured bacterium. Its description in RNAcentral is "partial 16S ribosomal RNA". It matches the Rfam family "Bacterial small subunit ribosomal RNA", at positions 524 to 776 of the family's 1533-position model. The record is from RNAcentral.
UACGAAGGGGGCUAGCGUUGCUCGGAAUCACUGGGCGUAAAGCGCACGUAGGCGGAUUGUUAAGUCAGGGGUGAAAUCCUGGAGCUCGACUCCAGAACUGCCUUUGAUACUGGCGAUCUCGAGUCCGGGAGAGGUGAGUGGAACUGCGAGUGUAGAGGUGAAAUUCGUAGAUAUUCGCAAGAACACCAGUGGCGAAGGCGGCUCACUGGCCCGGUACUGACGCUGAGGUGCGAAAGCGUGGGGAGCAAACAGG